AGCUUUGCACAGUGGCAGUAUUGUAGCCAAUGAGGUUUAUCCAAGGCGUGAUUAUUGCUAAUUGAAAACUUUUCCCAAUACUCCACCAUGAUGACUGGAAAUAUAGUUGGCACUGGCAAUUUUUGGCAGUCUCUAUGGGGA
This 141-nucleotide small nuclear RNA is filed under the name Cebus imitator (Panamanian white-faced capuchin). Its description in RNAcentral is "U4 spliceosomal RNA (ENSCCAG00000008044.1)". It matches the Rfam family "U4 spliceosomal RNA". From Rfam's summary of the family: U4 small nuclear RNA (U4 snRNA) is a component of the major U2-dependent spliceosome. The structure of U4 snRNA from yeast and human has been reported. Lineage: Eukaryota; Metazoa; Chordata; Mammalia; Primates; Cebidae. The record is from Rfam by way of RNAcentral.